UCAAGCUAAUAAGAGCGCAAGGGGAAUGCCUUGGCAUCAGGAGCCGACGAAGGACGUGACAAGCUGCGAUAAGCUACGGUGAGGAGCAAAUAUCCUGUGACCCGUAGAUUUCCGAAUGGGGCAACCCGGCUGGACAAUAUCCAGUCAUCCUGCAUUGAAUCAAAUAGGUGUAGGAAGGGAACCGCCUGAACUGAAACAUCUAAGUAGGGCGAGGAAAAGACAUCAACCGAGAUUCCGCAAGUAGUGGCGAGCGAACGCGGAAGAGGCCAAACCGGAGGAUUUAUUCUCCGGGGUUGCGGACAGCUAUACGGAACAAUAGUUUAGCCGAACGGUCUGGGAAGGCCGGUCACAGAGGGUGAGAACCCCGUAGGCGAAAGACGAAUUGUUUCAGGCUGGAUCCAGAGUACCGCAGGACACGUGAAACCCUGUGGGAAACAGGGGGGACCACCCUCCAAGCCUAAAUACUACCUGAUGACCGAUAGAGGAGCAGUACCGUGAGGGAAAGGUGAAAAGGACCCCGGGAGGGGAGUGAAAGAGAACCUGAAACCUUGUGCUUACAAGCAGUCAGAGCACGUUAACGUGUGAUGGCGUACUUUUUGUAGAACGGUCCGGCGAGUUAUAGUAACGAGCAAGCUUAAGGUAUUCAGUACCGGAGGCGCAGCGAAAGCGAGUCUGAAAAGGGCGCAUGAAGUUCGUUGCCAUAGACCCGAAACCGGGUGACCUACGCAUGAGCAGGUUGAAGUGGGGGUGAAACCCCAUGGAGGACCGAACCGACCCCCGUUGCAAUGGUGGCGGAUGACUUGUGGGUAGCGGUGAAAUUCCAAUCGAACUCGGAGAUAGCUGGUUCUCCCCGAAAUAGCUUUAGGGCUAGCGUUAUGUUAGAUUACCGGAGGUAAAGCACUGAAUGGUUGAGGGGCCGAUAAGGUUACCAACGCCUAUCAAACUCUGAAUGCCGGCUAAUUGAUGCAUAGCAGUCAGACAGUGUGAGAUAAGUUUCAUUGUCAAAAGGGAAACAGCCCAGACCUACAGCUAAGGUCCCAAAUGUAUGCUAAGUGGAAAACGAUGUGGAAUUGCGAAAACAACCAGGAUGUUGGCUUAGAAGCAGCCACUCAUUAAAAGAGUGCGUAAUAGCUCACUGGUCGAGUGACUCUGCGCGGAAAAUAUAACGGGGCUAAGCAUGCAACCGAAGCUUGGGAUUGUCAAAAGACAGUGGUAGGGGAGCGUCGUGUACGGGGUGAAGUCGCAUCGGAAGGAGCGGUGGACUGUACACGAGUGAGAAUGCCGGAAUGAGUAGCGAGAAUUAUGUGGGAAUCAUAAUGGCCGAAAAUCUAAGGUUUCUUGGGGAAGGUUCGUCCGCCCAAGGUAAGUCGGGAGCUAAGCUCAGGCCGAGAGGCGUAGGCGAUGCACAUACGGUAGAAAUUCCGUAACCACCGAACUUUAAGCAUGAGGGACACUUUGAGAUAGCGGAACCCGGGCGUUGGUUGACCCGGGCGAAAGGGACCGAAAUAUAGUAGGGAAGUCCGCGAUGCUCGGAGGCGAGAAAAGCUCAUGUGUAUACUAAGGUGCCCGUACCGCAAACCGACACAGGUAGAUGAGGAGAGAAUCCUAAGGCCAACGGGAGAAGGGUUGUUAAGGAACUCGGCAAGAUGACCCCGUAACUUCGGAAGAAGGGGAGCCUCGAAAGAGGCCGCAGUGAAUAGGCCCAAGCAACUGUUUACCAAAAACACAGGUUUAUGCUAAAUCGAAAGAUGACGUAUAUGAGCUGACGCCUGCCCGGUGCCGGAAGGUUAAGAGGAGAUGUCAACCGCGAGGUGAAGCAUUGAAUUGAAGCCCCGGUAAACGGCGGCCGUAACUAUAACGGUCCUAAGGUAGCGAAAUUCCUUGUCAGGUAAGUUCUGACCCGCACGAAUGG
RNAcentral lists this ribosomal RNA (1912 nucleotides) under human gut metagenome. RNAcentral describes it as "bacterial LSU rRNA". It matches the Rfam family "Bacterial large subunit ribosomal RNA", at positions 3 to 1999 of the family's 2925-position model. The record is from RNAcentral.